GGGCACUAUUGAAAUUAUUCAGCCAAAUCAGUAAGCCAGGCGACGGACCUAGACAUCUGUCAAGUCUAUGCUACCAAGCCGGGGCUCCUCUCGAGGACCCAAAUAAUAGACCCAUAAAACUCCGUUCUGCGGAACCCAAAUCCAAAAUCGAAAGAACCACCGCCCUACGUUCGCCAUGCUACCAUACCAAGCGGGGGCUCGUCUCCGGAACUGAAGGUAUGCUUACCGUCGUGGAGGUUCCCCUCGCACUGGGGAUCUCUCCGCCAGGCGUCGACGAGCUGGAUGACUCCGGCGCGGCGGCGAAGUGCGACGGACGAGGGCUCUGUAGCGGCGGGGGUCCUACGCCGCUUGCGACCGGUUCCGGAGGCCUUGACGGCGCUAGGGAUGGCAAAUCUGCCCGCGGGUACGGGUAUCCGCGGGUUUCGUACCUGAUGGGCACGGAUACGGACACGGUCACGUACUCACGUUGGCGGCUAUCGGGCAUCGGCUGGGUCCCUGAGAGAUUGAAACACCGUGCUCACUGCUCACGGCGGCCGGCGGCUCCCUAGCGGCGGCCGGCGGCAGACCGGCAGUGUGCUAGUGCGGCAGACCGGCAGCGGCAGUGCAGGCGGCUGACCCUCUCCCUCAGGCCUUCACUCCCUUGGCGGCGCGCCGGCGCGGCAAGCUGGCAAGCUCUUGGCCGUCGGAGACAGUGGCAGUGGUUUUUUAUUUCUAUUUGUAAUGUCAACUCCGGGAGACAGUGGCAGUGGUGCUGGACCUACUAGUGGUGGUGGUCGACGCGAUUCUAGAGCUCCAACUCCAUCAUCUACGCCACGAGAUCCUACUCCUACACCAUCUGAUGGAAUAGCGCCUACUCCUACUGAUGGUCAAGGUACUGGAACCACCAACACUGAUGCUGUUGAAAUAGAUGAGGAUGUUAGGGUUGGUAGUAAAAGGAAGCUUAAAUCUGAUGUAUGGCAAGACUUUGAAAGAGUCUGUGUAGGUGGUACUUGGAAAGCUAAAUGCAAUUGGUGUCACAAAACACUAUCAGCUGUAUGUAGAAAUGGUACAAGUCACUUGCGUAGCCACGUAAACAGCUGUGAAUCUCGACAAACAAGAAAAGGUCUAAAACAGUCCACUUUGAAAUUAUCUAAAACACAAGAUGGAAAUGUUCUAUUGGAGAAGUAUGUGUUUGAUCAAGCUGUUGCUAGAAAAGAACUCGCAUUGAUGAUAUGUGUUCAUGAGUACCCACUUUCUAUUGUUGAGCAUGUUGGUUUUAGAAGGUUUUGUGCUGCAUUGCAACCUUUAUUUAAGGUUAUGUCAAGAAAUACAAUUAGAAAGGAUAUUUUGGACAUGUACCAAGUGCAAAAGGUAUCCAUGGUGCAUCAGUUCCAGCAACUGGGAUCUCGUAUUGCUGUCACCACGGAUAUGUGGACAGCAAACCAUCAGAAAAAAGGCUACAUGGCUGUGACUGUUCACUAUAUCGAUGAGAGUUGGAAUCUAAAAAACUA
Long non-coding RNA from Zea mays, 1490 nucleotides. RefSeq lists it as uncharacterized. The transcript has 3 exons. Lineage: Eukaryota; Viridiplantae; Streptophyta; Magnoliopsida; Poales; Poaceae. The record is from RefSeq and is a predicted model, not a curated record.